This 86-nucleotide non-coding RNA is filed under the name marine eukaryotic metagenome. RNAcentral describes it as "Cyclic di-GMP-I riboswitch". It matches the Rfam family "c-di-GMP-I riboswitch aptamer", at positions 7 to 82 of the family's 87-position model. Rfam says of the family: GEMM was predicted in a large-scale screen for bacterial structured RNA regulatory elements. Genes associated with GEMM are involved in a diverse array of functions, including chemotaxis regulation, signal transduction, secretion and chitin. The record is from RNAcentral.
AAAGGGCAAACCGCCGGAAACGGCGGGACGCAAAGUAACCGGCCUCAGGCCCCAAGCUAGGAACAGGGGUGAUGGCAGCGGAACCG